Molecule: transfer RNA, 66 nt
Filed under: Sahlbergotettix salicicola
Lineage: Eukaryota; Metazoa; Arthropoda; Insecta; Hemiptera; Cicadellidae
Description: tRNA-Asn
Source: RNAcentral
UUAGUUGAAACCAAAAAGAGGUAACUUAAUGUUAAUAAGAAAAUUGAAUUUAAUAUUCCAACUAAA